Long non-coding RNA from Helianthus annuus (common sunflower), 219 nucleotides. RefSeq lists it as uncharacterized. The record is from RefSeq and is a predicted model, not a curated record. The transcript is spliced from 2 exons. NCBI's taxonomy places the organism in Eukaryota, Viridiplantae, Streptophyta, Magnoliopsida, Asterales, Asteraceae.
AUGUAAGAUGCUUCUUGGCAUCAGUAAGUUAUUUGGCUGCAGCUUAAUGACAUAUUCAGGCAAUGGUUAUAUCGUAUAAGCAUAUACAACCAGUGGAUAUACUUGCAAAACAAGCCACUGAGGUUAAUAACAACUUGCCAGCCACUCAAGAAUGAUGAUGUGUGUAUGUAGCUUGCAAGAAAGAUACUAAAAGAAGUAAUCUUUAUCCCCCUUAUCUUU